UGCAAGUCGAGCGACAGAUGAGAAGCUUGCUUCUCUGAUGUUAGCGGCGGACGGGUGAGUAACACGUGGGUAACCUACCUAUAAGACUGGGAUAACUCCGGGAAACCGGGGCUAAUACCGGAUAAUAUUUUGAACCGCAUGGUUCAAUAGUGAAAGACGGUUUCGGCUGUCACUUAUAGAUGGACCCGCGCCGUAUUAGCUAGUUGGUAAGGUAACGGCUUACCAAGGCGACGAUACGUAGCCGACCUGAGAGGGUGAUCGGCCACACUGGAACUGAGACACGGUCCAGACUCCUACGGGAGGCAGCAGUAGGGAAUCUUCCGCAAUGGGCGAAAGCCUGACGGAGCAACGCCGCGUGAGUGAUGAAGGUCUUCGGAUCGUAAAACUCUGUUGUUAGGGAAGAACAAAUUUGUUAGUAACUGAACAAGUCUUGACGGUACCUAACCAGAAAGCCACGGCUAACUACGUGCCAGCAGCCGCGGUAAUACGUAGGUGGCAAGCGUUAUCCGGAAUUAUUGGGCGUAAAGCGCGCGUAGGCGGUUUCUUAAGUCUGAUGUGAAAGCCCACGGCUCAACCGUGGAGGGUCAUUGGAAACUGGGAAACUUGAGUGCAGAAGAGGAGAGUGGAAUUCCAUGUGUAGCGGUGAAAUGCGCAGAGAUAUGGAGGAACACCAGUGGCGAAGGCGGCUCUCUGGUCUGUAACUGACGCUGAUGUGCGAAAGCGUGGGGAUCAAACAGGAUUAGAUACCCUGGUAGUCCACGCCGUAAACGAUGAGUGCUAAUGGUUAGGGGGGUUUCCGCCCCUUAGUGCUGCAGCUAACGCAUUAAGCACUCCGCCCGGGGGAGUACGACCGCAAGGUUGAAACUCAAAGGAAUUGACGGGGACCCGCACAAGCGGUGGAACCAUGGUGGUUUAAUUCGAAGCAACGCGAAGAACCUUACCAAAUCUUGACAUCCUUUGACCGCUCUAGAAGAUAGAGUCUU
RNAcentral lists this ribosomal RNA (983 nucleotides) under Staphylococcus sp. NCCP-960. RNAcentral's name for it is "bacterial SSU rRNA". It matches the Rfam family "Bacterial small subunit ribosomal RNA", at positions 56 to 1015 of the family's 1533-position model. The record is from RNAcentral. Lineage: Bacteria; Bacillati; Bacillota; Bacilli; Caryophanales; Staphylococcaceae.